Molecule: ribosomal RNA, 461 nt
Filed under: uncultured Methanosaeta sp.
Lineage: Archaea; Methanobacteriati; Methanobacteriota; Methanomicrobia; Methanotrichales; Methanotrichaceae
Description: bacterial SSU rRNA
Rfam family: Archaeal small subunit ribosomal RNA
Source: RNAcentral
UUGAUCCUGCCAGAGGUUACUGCUAUCGAGUUCGACUAAGCCAUGCGAGUCGAAUGUAGCAAUACAUGGCGUACUGCUCAGUAACACGUGGACAACCUGCCCUUAGGACGGGGAUAAACCCGGGAAACUGGGUAUAAUACCCGAUAGGUUUCGAGUGCUGGAAUGCACCGAAUCCUAAAGCUCCGGCGCCUAAGGAUGGGUCUGCGGCCUAUCAGGUAGUAGUGGGUGUAGCGUACCUACUAGCCUACGACGGGUACGGGUUGUGAGAGCAAGAGCCCGGAGAUGGAUUCUGAGACACGAAUCCAGGCCCUACGGGGUGCAGCAGGCGCGAAAACUUUACAAUGCUGGCAACAGCGAUAAGGGAACCUCGAGUGCCAGGUUACAAAUCUGGCUGUCGUGAUGCCUAAAAAGCAUUGCAUAGCAAGGGCCGGGCAAGACCGGUGCCAGCAGCCGCGGUAAUA